GAGGGGGUGGAAGGCUAGUUGGUAAGGGCGUAUGGCUACCAACCUGAAGGUUGUGGGUUUGAUUCCUGCCCUUCGCA
Molecule: non-coding RNA, 77 nt
Organism: Massospora cicadina
Lineage: Eukaryota; Fungi; Entomophthoromycota; Entomophthoromycetes; Entomophthorales; Entomophthoraceae
Source: the annotation of a GenBank genome assembly